This 558-nucleotide long non-coding RNA is filed under the name Vulpes vulpes (red fox). RNAcentral describes it as "lncRNA (ENSVVUG00000025379.1)". The record is from RNAcentral. Lineage: Eukaryota; Metazoa; Chordata; Mammalia; Carnivora; Canidae.
AUGUGCAGUGUCCUCCAGCUUUGGGGGGACUGUACCCCAACGUCCCAUGUCCCCUUGCUGAAGCGCACACUCCUCUGUGCAGUGCCGGGCUGUGGACAGGGCUCUGGGCCGGGGUCGAGUGGUUCCUGUCUCCUGCUGGCAUUCUCAGCUUCCCUGGUCUCAGAGGGUGGUUCCUCGGUCUUCUGGAAGGUGCCGGCGUGUCCUAGGGUGAGUCCUGCCUCAUGCUCUUGCCUGGUGAGAAAGCCGCAUGUGGCCUUGCUGGCAGGGCACAUUGCUGAUCUGUUAAACUGGCCCUCCUUCCAGAACUUCCCAGGCAGCUGCGGGCCACAGGCCGAGCGUGCCUUUUGCCUGCACAGUGGCCGCCAGCGCUGCCCGGUUGAAUCACGGGGCAGCACAGGGGGACUGUCUUGGCUGCAUCUGGUAUUCAAGAUGAUUUUGAGCCUCAAAAACAGAGACCGUCAACAAGAAAAAGACCACCUAGUUCCCAAAUGGGCAAAGAACCGAACUGAUGUUUCUCUCAAGAGGAGCCAGCCGGAGAUGGGGGCUGGAGGUUCCUGA